UAUUUUAACAAGAACCACCAAUGUACGUUUAUCUUAGUCACUGAAUCAUUACCCAAUUCAAUCAAUACUGAAGACUUUUGAACCAAAAAACACAAAAAGGUCAAAUCUUUUCCUUAAAAAUUGAACAAAGGUCACGUCUUUAACCCAUACCUAAGCAAGAACAGUAGAAAACCUAGAAAAAUCC
RNAcentral lists this small RNA (184 nucleotides) under Arabidopsis thaliana (thale cress). Its description in RNAcentral is "ATSL284960". The record is from RNAcentral. Lineage: Eukaryota; Viridiplantae; Streptophyta; Magnoliopsida; Brassicales; Brassicaceae.